GACGAACGCUGGCGGCGGGCUUAACACAUGCCAGUCGAACGGAAAGGCCCUGCUUUUGUGGGGUGCUCGAGUGGCGAACGGGUGAGUAAGACGUGAGUAACCUGCCCUUGACUUUGGGAUAACUUCAGGAAACUGGGGCUACUACCGGAUAGCAGCUCCCGCUGCGUGGUGGGGGUGGGAAAGUUUCGGCGGGCGGGGAUGGAUUCGCGGCUGAUCGGCUUGUUGGUGGGGGAGUGGCUUACCAAGGAUUUGACCGGUAGCCGGCCUGGGAGGGUGACCGGGCACAUUGGGACUGAGAUACGGCGCAGACGCCUACGGGAGGCAGCAGGGGGGAAUAUUGCACAAUGGGCGGAAGCCUGAUGCAGCAACGCUGCGUGCGGGAAGACGGCUUGCGGGUUGUAAACCGCUUUCGCCUGAGACGAAGCGUGAGUGACGGUAAUGGGUAAAGAAGCACCGGCUAACUACGUG
This 468-nucleotide ribosomal RNA is filed under the name uncultured bacterium. RNAcentral describes it as "partial 16S ribosomal RNA". It matches the Rfam family "Bacterial small subunit ribosomal RNA", at positions 28 to 507 of the family's 1533-position model. The record is from RNAcentral.